CGGCAGAGGCAGGCGGAAUUCGUGGUGUAGCGGUGAAAUGCUUAGAUAUCACGAAGAACUCCGAUUGCGAAGGCAGCUUGCUGGAGCGUAACUGACGUUGAUGCUCGAAAGUGUGGGUAUCAAACAGGAUUAGAUACCCUGGUAGUCCACACGGUAAACGAUGAAUACUCGCUGUUGGCGAUAUACGGUCAGCGGCCAAGCGAAAGCAUUAAGUAUUCCACCUGGGGAGUACGCCGGCAACGGUGAAACUCAAAGGAAUUGACGGGGGCCCGCACAAGCGGAGGAACAUGUGGUUUAAUUCGAUGAUACGCGAGGAACCUUACCCGGGCUUAAAUUAUGCAUGAAUGAUUUGGAGACAGAUCAGCCGCAAGGCAUGUAUGAAGGUGCUGCAUGGUUGUCGUCAGCUCGUGCCGUGAGGUGUCGGCUUAAGUGCCAUAACGAGCGCAACCCUUUCUGUCAGUUACUAACAGGUAAUGCUGAGGACUCUGGCGGUACUGCCAUCGUAAGAUGUGAGGAAGGUGGGGAUGACGUCAAAUCAGCACGGCCCUUACGUCCGGGGCUACACACGUGUUACAAUGGGGGGUACAGAAGGCAGCUUGCCGGCGACGGCUGGCCAAUCCCUAAAUCCUCUCUCAGUUCGGACUGGAGUCUGCAACCCGACUCCACGAAGCUGGAUUCGCUAGUAAUCGCGCAUCAGCCACGGCGCGGUGAAUACGUUCCCGGGCCUUGUACACACCGCCCGUCAAGCCGUGAAAGCCGGGAGUACCUGAAGUGCGUAACCGGAAGGAGCGCCCUAGGGUAACACUGGUAAUUGGGGCUAAGUCGUAACAAGGUAACCA
RNAcentral lists this ribosomal RNA (839 nucleotides) under uncultured bacterium. RNAcentral's name for it is "bacterial SSU rRNA". It matches the Rfam family "Bacterial small subunit ribosomal RNA", at positions 649 to 1502 of the family's 1533-position model. The record is from RNAcentral.